GAAAACCUGCCGUAUACUGGGGGAUAACACUUAGAAAUAGGUGCUAAUACCGCAUAAGCGCACAGCUUCGCAUGAAGCAGUGUGAAAAACUGAGGUGGUAUACGAUGGUUCCGCGUCUGAUUAGCUAGUUGGUGGGGUAAAAGCCUACCAAGGCAACGAUCAGUAGCCGGCCUGAGAGGGUGAACGGCCACAUUGGGACUGAGACACGGCCCAAACUCCUACGGGAGGCAGCAGUGGGGAAUAUUGCACAAUGGGGGAAACCCUGAUGCAGCGACGCCGCGUGAGUGAAGAAGUAUUUCGGUAUGUAAAGCUCUAUCAGCAGGGAAGAAAUACUGACCAUAGGGUCAGCAGACGGUACUCGACUAAGAAGCCCCGGCUAACUACGUGCCAGCAGCCGCGGUAAUACGUAGGGGGCAAGCGUUAUCCGGAUUUACUGGGUGUAAAGGGAGCGUAGACGGCAGCGCAAGUCUGAAGUGAAAUGCCAGGGCUUAACCCUGGAACUGCUUUGGAAACUGUGCAGCUAGAGUGCAGGAGAGGUAAGUGGAAUUUCUAGUGUAGCGGUGAAAUGCGUAGAUAUUAGGAGGAACACCAGUGGCGAAGGCGGCUUACUGGACUGUAACUGACGUUGAGGCUCGAAAGCGUGGGGAGCAAAACAGGAUUAGAUACCCUGGUAGUCCACGCUGUAAACGAUGAUUACUAGGUGUUGGGGGACCAAGGUUCUU
RNAcentral lists this ribosomal RNA (722 nucleotides) under uncultured bacterium. RNAcentral describes it as "bacterial SSU rRNA". It matches the Rfam family "Bacterial small subunit ribosomal RNA", at positions 120 to 840 of the family's 1533-position model. The record is from RNAcentral.